AGGGUGUAAACGCUGCAGACUUGGUGUUGGGAACCCUUCGGGGUGCUCAGUGCCGGAGAGAAGUUGUUAAGUCUGCUACUUGGGGAGUACGUCCGCAAGGAUGAAACUUAAAGGAAUUGGCGGGGGAGCACCGCAACGGGAGGAGCGUGCGGUUUAAUUGGAUUCAACGCCGAAAAACUCACCAGCAGCGACUGUUACAUGAAAGUCAGGUUGAUGACCUUACUAGAUUUUCAGAGAGGAGGUGCAUGGCGUCAGUGACU
This 260-nucleotide ribosomal RNA is filed under the name uncultured archaeon. RNAcentral describes it as "partial 16S ribosomal RNA". It matches the Rfam family "Archaeal small subunit ribosomal RNA", at positions 748 to 1008 of the family's 1478-position model. The record is from RNAcentral.